RNAcentral lists this transfer RNA (63 nucleotides) under Podarcis lilfordi (Lilford's wall lizard). RNAcentral's name for it is "tRNA.Ala". It matches the Rfam family "tRNA", at positions 8 to 63 of the family's 71-position model. From Rfam's summary of the family: Transfer RNA (tRNA) molecules are approximately 80 nucleotides in length. The record is from RNAcentral. Lineage: Eukaryota; Metazoa; Chordata; Lepidosauria; Squamata; Lacertidae.
GUAGCUCAGUGGUAGAGCACCUGCUUGGCUUGCAGAAAGACCCAGGUUCAAUCCCUGUUGCCU